RNAcentral lists this ribosomal RNA (490 nucleotides) under uncultured bacterium. RNAcentral's name for it is "partial 16S ribosomal RNA". It matches the Rfam family "Bacterial small subunit ribosomal RNA", at positions 29 to 505 of the family's 1533-position model. The record is from RNAcentral.
AGUGAACGCUGGCGGUAGGCCUAACACAUGCAAGUCGAACGGCAGCACAGUAAGAGCUUGCUCUUACGGGUGGCGAGUGGCGGACGGGUGAGGAAUACAUCGGAAUCUACUUUUUCGUGGGGGAUAACGUAGGGAAACUUACGCUAAUACCGCAUACGACCUACGGGUGAAAGCAGGGGAUCUUCGGACCUUGCGCGAUUGAAUGAGCCGAUGUCGGAUUAGCUAGUUGGCGGGGUAAAGGCCCACCAAGGCGACGAUCCGUAGCUGGUCUGAGAGGAUGAUCAGCCACACUGGAACUGAGACACGGUCCAGACUCCUACGGGAGGCAGCAGUGGGGAAUAUUGGACAAUGGGCGCAAGCCUGAUCCAGCCAUACCGCGUGGGUGAAGAAGGCCGUCGGGGUGUAAAGCCCUUUUGUUGGGAAAGAAAAGCAGCAGGUUAAUACCCCGCUGUUCUGACGGGACCCAAAGAAUAAGCACCGGCUAACUUCG